Molecule: ribosomal RNA, 237 nt
Filed under: uncultured bacterium
Lineage: Bacteria
Description: partial 16S ribosomal RNA
Rfam family: Bacterial small subunit ribosomal RNA
Source: RNAcentral
GAUCAUGGCUCAGGACGAACGCUGGCGGCGUGCUUAACACAUGCAAGUCGAACGAAGAGCGAUGGAAGCUUGCUUCUAUCAAUCUUAGUGGCGAACGGGUGAGUAACGCGUAAUCAACCUGCCCUUCAGAGGGGGACAACAGUUGGAAACGACUGCUAAUACCGCAUACGAUCUAACCUCGGCAUCGAGGAUGGAUGAAAGGUGGCCUNUAUUUAUAAGCUAUCACUGAAGGAGGGG